CUAUGCUUAGGGCUUCUAUGGAGGUGUUAUAAGUAAGUAUCGUAUAAUGGAACAUUGAUAGUGACGAAGGCGGGGCUAGGAACAGAAGUGGAGGGGACCAGAAAUGAGGACUACUUAGGUGACAUGGAUGCCUGGGGAAGGGACUCACUGCAGGUUCUGUCUGCUCAGUUCCUUCAGAGACACCUGGGCCCUCUGCCUCCUGCUGAUGUUGUCAACCACAGGAGGAGCUUAGGAUAGGAGUUGAAAAGAAAACAUUAAAAACUCUUCAAGAUGUGAGCUCAGAGGAGCCCGAGAAUGUCCACCCAGUGGGGAAAAAUGGCGAAGUGAAUCAGUCCUGAUUCUGCCAGAGUUUUCACCCAUCUCUUGGGGUUCUCUCGUUUUGAUUUCUGCUGCCACCAGCUAAAAGUGUUUCAAGAGAGAGACAGAGCAUGAACGGGGGAG
Molecule: long non-coding RNA, 441 nt
Organism: Herpailurus yagouaroundi (jaguarundi)
Lineage: Eukaryota; Metazoa; Chordata; Mammalia; Carnivora; Felidae
Exons: 3
Source: RefSeq, a predicted model, not a curated record